Molecule: ribosomal RNA, 1353 nt
Filed under: uncultured bacterium
Lineage: Bacteria
Description: partial 16S rRNA
Rfam family: Bacterial small subunit ribosomal RNA (bases 722-1350)
Source: RNAcentral
CGCGCCCACUUUCACAAUCAGCAGUUACGGUUUCGGCGGCGGCGGUUUUUUAAUUUUUUUUUCACGCGGCAGAAAAAAAUCACGUUUACGUUUCAGGCCGCCGCACGCGCUGCUUUUGCUUUCUUUGCUGCCCGCGCUUUUUUUCGGCAGCAGGGUGCCCGGGCUUUUACGCGGUUUCGGCAGAUAUUAGCCAUGCGGCGCGCCCGCUUUGCCCAGCGGCGCGCUCGGAAAUUUUUACAGCGGAAAGCCUUUGCCGCCCUGCGGGGUUUAAAAGCCACGCGGUUUCAGACGUUUCAGCGGCGGAAAGGUGGUGGUCAGGCCUUAUUUCAGCACUUUCUGCAGCAGAUCGCCAAUCAGUUCAUCCCACAGCGCGGUAAUACGCAGAUGGCUGCAUUAAUCGCUUUACUGACGCAGCGCAUGUUCCGGGGUUUCUUCCGCCAGAUGGCUCGCGCCCGGUUCCACCUGGCUGCCGCAUUUGCUACGGCACACCAGGGUUUCAUACAGCGGAUAAAAUUCCAGAUGCAGCGGGCUAAUACGCAGAUAACGGCUGCUAUAACGAUGACGCAGACGGCCGCCCGGGCACAGGCUCACGCUCAGGCAGCUCAGGGUCGCCAGCAGGCAGCUUUAAAUGCCCUGAUAAUCCACGCCAUACACAAUAUCCACACGCAGUUUGGUAUCCUGCACGCUCGGUUCUUACGCCAGCGCGUUCAGCAGGCCGCCCGGGCUAUACGGACGCAGGGUCAGCACUUAAAUAAACUGACGCGGGCCCGCGCACGCGGUGCUGCAGGUGGUUUAGUUGCUCGCCACACGCAGCACUUUGCCCACACGGCUCAUCCACAGAAUCUGUUACAGAUGAAUCAGCGCUUUCGGAAACUGGCUCACCGGCGCCGCAUGGCUAUCAUCCGCACGGGUGGUAAAAUGCUGGGUCAGAUCGCCCAGGCUACGCAGGCCUUAGCCUUAUUUGCCCGCCGGCAGCGCCGGAAAUUUCAGGCUCACCGCCGGGCUCAGGCCGCUGCUCGGCGGGCUGCUGGUCAGAUCAUCAUGGCCUUUACGGGUCGGGCUGCACACAUGUUACAGCGGUUAAUACAGCGGGUUACGCAGACGGCUGGUGCUGCUAAUGCCAUACAGCUGAUCAUAAUCCGGGUUGCUAUCCGCCACACGGCUCCAGCUGGUCGGAAUCGCCAGCAGACGCGGAUCGCUAUGCCACGGGCUAUAGGUGCCCGGGCCCUGCACGCAACGGCCAUCGCACCACGGCAGCGGGCUGCACCAAAAAUAAAUCGCUUAGCCUUCCGGCGGACGUUUGCCACGAUGGGUUUAGCUACGCGGAAAAUGCACGCACGCCGGUUACGGGCC